UGCGACGCAGCUAACGCAUUAAGCGCCCCGCCUGGUGAGUACGAUCGCAAGAUUAAAACUCAAAGGAAUUGACGGGGCCCCGCACAAGCAGCGGAGCAUGCGGCUUAAUUCGACGCAACGCGAAGAACCUUACCAAGGCUUGACAUAUACCGAAAAGCAGCAGAGAUGUUGUGUCCGCAAGGGCGGUAUACAGGUGGUGCAUGGUUGUCGUCAGCUCGUGUCGUGAGAUGUUGGGUUAAGUCCCGCAACGAGCGCAACCCUCGUUCUGUGUUGCCAGCAUUUAGUUGGGGACUCACAGGAGACUGCCGUGGUCAACACGGAGGAAGGUGGGGAUGACGUCAAAUCAUCAUGCCCCUUAUGUCUUGGGCUGCACGCAUGCUACAAUGGCAGGUACAAAGGGCUGCGAUACCGUAAGGUGGAGCGAAUCCCAAAAAGUCUGUCUCAGUUCGGAUUGAGGUCUGCAACUCGACCUCAUGAAGUCGGAGUUGCUAGUAAUCGUAGAUCAGCAACGCUACGGUGAAUACGUUCCCGGGGCUUGUACACACCGCCCGUCACGUCACGAAAGUCGGUAACACCCAAAGUCAGUGCCCAACCGCAAGGAG
RNAcentral lists this ribosomal RNA (602 nucleotides) under uncultured Actinomycetes bacterium. RNAcentral describes it as "bacterial SSU rRNA". It matches the Rfam family "Bacterial small subunit ribosomal RNA", at positions 842 to 1448 of the family's 1533-position model. Lineage: Bacteria; Bacillati; Actinomycetota; Actinomycetes. The record is from RNAcentral.